This 265-nucleotide ribosomal RNA is filed under the name uncultured prokaryote. RNAcentral describes it as "partial 16S ribosomal RNA". It matches the Rfam family "Bacterial small subunit ribosomal RNA", at positions 524 to 788 of the family's 1533-position model. The record is from RNAcentral.
UACGUAGGGUGCGAGCGUUGUCCGGAAUUAUUGGGCGUAAAGAGCUUGUAGGCGGUUUGUCGCGUCUGCUGUGAAAAUCCGGGGCUCAACCCCGGACUUGCAGUGGGUACGGGCAGACUAGAGUGUGGUAGGGGAGACUGGAAUUCCUGGUGUAGCGGUGAAACGCGCAGAUAUCAGGAGGAACACCAAUGGCGAAGGCAGGUCUCUGGGCAGUUACUGACGCUGAGGAGCGAAAGCAUGGGUAGCGAACAGGAUUAGAUACCCU